Mustela lutreola (European mink) is the source of this 997-nucleotide long non-coding RNA. RefSeq lists it as uncharacterized. The record is from RefSeq and is a predicted model, not a curated record. Lineage: Eukaryota; Metazoa; Chordata; Mammalia; Carnivora; Mustelidae. The transcript has 4 exons.
AUCACUAAUCAUCAGGGAAAUGCAGAUCAAAAACAUGAAGAGAUACCACUUUGUACUUGUCAGGAUGAAUGUUACUAAAAAGAUAAGAGCUAACAAAUUUUGGUGAGAAUGUGGAGAGUACCUUUUUGCACUUUUGGUGGGAAUGUAAAUUGGUGCAGCCACUCUGGAAAACAGGAUGGAGGUUCUCCAAAAAUUAAAAGCACAAUCACCAAAUAAUCCAGCAAUGCUACCCCUGGGUACCUGUAUGAAGGAUAGGAAAACAGGAUCUCAGAGAGAGAUAUCUGUACUCCCAUCUCCAUUUCAGCCUUAUUCACAAUAGCCAAGAUAUGGAAACGACCCUCAUGUCUGGCAAUGGAAGAACAUGAUGUUUAUACAAUGGAAUAUUAUUCAGCCAUAAAAAGAAGGAUAUCUUGCCAUUUGCAACAAUGUGGAUGAAUCUGGAGGACAUUAUGUUAAGGAAUAUAAAACAAUCCAGUGUCUACCCUUCUCCACCCAGCUGUGUGCACUGGGGGCUGACCUGGUCUUCCUUUUGGCAAAUGGCCAGUGGGAGGUACAAGCAGGAGAUCUGCCAAUCAGCCCUAUUUGUACAUUUCCAGGAUCGAUGUAGGAAGAAGUACAUUGCUGUGUGUUUGUAACUCAGGCCAUCAUUUGAGGGUGCCAUUUUCCUUUUUCUUGAUAACCCCUUGGCAACUUUCCCUCCUCUACUGAGAGCAGUCUUGUUGGAGCUGUCAGUCAACGGACCCUGAGAUCCAAGCCCAGGGCAGCUGAGCCAAACUAGGCCCAUGGAAUUCUCUCACCCAGAAAACUGACUCUUCAGCCCAGUUAUUGCAAUGAAGGAAAGUGGCCAUUGCAGAGCCCUAAAAAUAAAGUUCAUAGUUUCUACCUGGAUCCCAGACUUACUCUGGUUCUCAGCUUUUUCAUGCUUGAUUCUUUUUAGUUUUUCCUUCAGUUCUGUAGACUAUCUCAUACCCUUACAAUAAAAUGUUUUGCUUGUUAU